AACACGCCGCACACGAAUUUGCUAUGGACGGUACCAGAUCUUCGGUUCUGGCGGUAGGCUCCCGCUGCGUCAUCAUGAGCCAGCCCACGGUGAAUUUACUAAAACGGUGACGUCUUCCGCUGUGGUCAGCUUGUACAUAUAUAAUAUUUGUUAUAUGAGGGAAGAGUAUAUGUAUUUACCCCAUCUAUUAAUAAUAUAAAACUAAUAUCUAUUAACACACGCAGAUAUGGAACAGUCCAUCCCUAGGCGCAGGUGUCAUCCCUCGACUGAAACCUUCAAAUGCACACAUAGAAAAAGUAACGGUAAGUCAGCCAAUGCAAAGCGGACAGAGAGGCCGCCGCAAAGUGGGUGAAAGAAGAAGAGAACCCCAUAUUCAAAAUGUUAACAAAGACAGUCGAUGGGGACAUUGGGAAUCGGUGUUUUGCGCCGUUCAGGAUAAGUUAAAAAUCAGGAUCAGCUCUUAGAUCCGUCAGCCGUCGAGUUUUGUGGGCAAGAAGCCAGUCCAUGGAUAAAUUAGAAUUCGAUUUUGUAUGUGUGUUAUGUUCUGCAGUUUAACAAGUAGUUCCAUUGUACUAGUACUAGUUUUAGUUGUUACAUUGUCCAUCUGCGAUGCUCCAGACAUAUGUUGGCCACAUCCUGUACUGUGUAUGGACGGCUAGGAGUUCGGAAGCAAUUUAUGGCGUUCUGCCUGCAUAUUUUUCAUAAAUUUAAAAAUGCAUAUUUCGUUAAAAUCCAA
Long non-coding RNA from Drosophila pseudoobscura, 736 nucleotides. RefSeq lists it as uncharacterized. The transcript has 2 exons. The record is from RefSeq and is a predicted model, not a curated record. Lineage: Eukaryota; Metazoa; Arthropoda; Insecta; Diptera; Drosophilidae.